Molecule: ribosomal RNA, 260 nt
Filed under: uncultured bacterium
Lineage: Bacteria
Description: partial 16S ribosomal RNA
Rfam family: Bacterial small subunit ribosomal RNA
Source: RNAcentral
GCAAGUCGAGCGGUAGCAGGUCCUUCGGGAUGCUGACGCGCGGCGGACGGGGGAGUAAUGCUUAGGAAUCUGCCUGGUCGUGGGGGAUAGCCCGGGGAAACCCGGAUUAAUACCGCGUACGCACUUUGGGGGACAGCAGAGGCUCGUUUCUUUUCGGUGAGUGGACCUUGCGCUAUUGGAUGAGCCUAAGUCAGAUUAGCUGGUUGGUGGGGUAAAGGCCUACCAAGGCGACGAUCCGUAGCUGGUCUGAGAGGAUGAUC